RNAcentral lists this ribosomal RNA (506 nucleotides) under uncultured bacterium. RNAcentral describes it as "bacterial SSU rRNA". It matches the Rfam family "Bacterial small subunit ribosomal RNA", at positions 9 to 518 of the family's 1533-position model. The record is from RNAcentral.
GAAUUUGAUCUGGUUCAGGAUGAACGCUGGCGGCGUGCCUAACACAUGCAAGUCGAACGGAAAUUACAGAAGGAAGUUUCGGAUGGAAUUUGUAAUUUAGUGGCGGACGGGUGAGUAACACGUGGGUAACCUGCCCUGUACCGGGGGAUAACAGUUGGAAACGGCUGUUAAUACCGCAUAAGCGCACAGCUCCGCAUGGAGCAGUGUGAAAAACUCCGGUGGUACAGGAUGGACCCGCGUCUGAUUAGCUUGUUGGCGGGGUAACGGCCCACCAAGGCGACGAUCAGUAGCCGGCCUGAGAGGGUGAACGGCCACAUUGGGACUGAGACACGGCCCAGACUCCUACGGGAGGCAGCAGUGGGGAAUAUUGCACAAUGGAGGAAACUCUGAUGCAGCGAACCGCCGCGUGAGCGAUGAAGUAUUUCGGUAUGUAAAGCUCUAUCAGCAGGGAAGAUAAUGACGGUACCUGACUAAGAAGCCCCGGCUAACUACGUGCCAGCAGCGGC